UGGGGAAUAUUGGACAAUGGGCGCAAGCCUGAUCCAGCCAUGCCGCGUGAGUGAUGAAGGCCCUAGGGUUGUAAAGCUCUUUCACCGGUGAAGAUAAUGACGGUAACCGGAGAAGAAGCCCCGGCUAACUUCGUGCCAGCAGCCGCGGUAAUACGAAGGGGGCUAGCGUUGUUCGGAUUUACUGGGCGUAAAGCGCACGUAGGCGGACUUUUAAGUCAGGGGUGAAAUCCCGGGGCUCAACCCCGGAACGGCCUUUGAUACUGGAAGUCUGGAGUAUGGUAGAGGUGAGUGGAAUUCCGAGUGUAGAGGUGAAAUUCGUAGAUAUUCGGAGGAACACCAGUGGGGAAGGCGGCUCACUGGACCAUUACUGACGCUGAGGUGCGAAAGCGUGGGGAGCAAACAGG
This 404-nucleotide ribosomal RNA is filed under the name Actinomycetes bacterium. Its description in RNAcentral is "Actinobacteria bacterium partial 16S ribosomal RNA". It matches the Rfam family "Bacterial small subunit ribosomal RNA", at positions 355 to 776 of the family's 1533-position model. The record is from RNAcentral. Lineage: Bacteria; Bacillati; Actinomycetota; Actinomycetes.